This 497-nucleotide ribosomal RNA is filed under the name uncultured bacterium. RNAcentral's name for it is "bacterial SSU rRNA". It matches the Rfam family "Bacterial small subunit ribosomal RNA", at positions 25 to 518 of the family's 1533-position model. The record is from RNAcentral.
CAGGAUGAACGCUAGCGACAGGCCUAACACAUGCAAGUCAGGGGCAGCACAAGGAGCAAUCUGAGGUGGCGACCGGCGCACGGGUGAGUAACACGUAUGCAACCUGCCUGUAAGCGGGGAAUAACCCGUUGAAAGACGGACUAAUACCGCAUAAUACUAAAUUACUGCAUGGUAAUUUAUUUAAACAUUUAUGGCUUACAGAUGGGCAUGCGCAUGAUUAGCUAGUUGGAGAGGUAACGGCUCCCCAAGGCAACGAUCAUUAGGGGUUCUGAGAGGAAGGUCCCCACACUGGUACUGAGACACGGACCAGACUCCUACGGGAGGCAGCAGUGAGGAAUAUUGGUCAAUGGACGAGAGUCUGAACCAGCCAAGUCGCGUGCAGGAAGAAUGUCCUAAUGGAUUGUAAACUGCUUUUGCAGGGGAAUAAAGUGCAUCACGUGUGAUGUUUUGUAUGUACUCUGCGAAUAAGGAUCGGCUAACUCCGUGCCAGCAGCUGC